This 499-nucleotide ribosomal RNA is filed under the name uncultured Lachnospiraceae bacterium. RNAcentral's name for it is "partial 16S ribosomal RNA". The record is from RNAcentral. Lineage: Bacteria; Bacillati; Bacillota; Clostridia; Lachnospirales; Lachnospiraceae.
CACGUAGUUAGCCGGGGCUUCUUAGUCGGGUACCGUCUUCCUUCUUCCCCGCUGAUAGAGCUUUACAUACCGAGAUACUUCUUCACUCACGCGGCGUUGCUGCGUCAGGGUUUCCCCCAUUGCGCAAUAUUCCCCACUGCUGCCUCCCGUAGGAGUUUGGGCCGUGUCUCAGUCCCAAUGUGGCCGGCCACCCUCUCAGGUCGGCUACUGAUCGUCGCCUUGGUGGGCCUUUACCCCGCCAACUAGCUAAUCAGACGCGGGCCCAUCCCAUACCACCGGAGUUUUUCGCGCGUGGCCAUGCGGCCACGUGCGCUUAAGCGGUAUUAGCGGUCAUUUCUAACCGUUAUCCCCCGGUAUGGGGCAGGUUACCCACGCGUUACUCACCCGUCCGCCGCUAAGUCGCUCCCGCUUCCUUCCGAAAAUUCCGCAUGAGCGCUUCGCUCGACUUGCAUGUGUUAAGCACGCCGCCAGCGUUCAUCCUGAGCCAGGAUCAAACUCU